Molecule: long non-coding RNA, 496 nt
Filed under: Coffea arabica (coffee)
Lineage: Eukaryota; Viridiplantae; Streptophyta; Magnoliopsida; Gentianales; Rubiaceae
Description: long non-coding RNA (CARA_LNC007310)
Source: RNAcentral
AAAAUGCCCCAAAUCUAUUAAUAGAAUUUUUAUAAAUAUACAUUGGAAAGUAUUUAAAAAUAUACCCAAAACACCAUUCCAACUAGACUAUGGGACGGCGCGGCGGUUGACGACAUUAGUGGUGGAAGAAAGCUGAGCAGCAGGGGGGAUAGCAUCCCCGGUAGGAGCAUCAACGGAAGCAGAAGCACCGCGACCAGGUUGAGGUUGGAGGUGUCCCUGGGUUCCAUAUCCCUGCUGCUUGUAAUCCUCCAAGUCCUUGUACUGUGUGUAGGGACUAGUAUUCACUGGCAGCCCUUCCAACUUCCCUCCCUUCUCUUCCUUGUCUUUCCUCUCCAUUUUGCCCUCCACCUCUAUUAUUAUCACUUAUAUCUGCCCAAAAAAAAAACCUGUCUCUUUUCUCGAAUUGUUCUGGGCUUCAGAUUGAUAUAGCUGAUCAGUCGGUAGAUUGUUCUUUGAUUGAUUUUGUGAACUCCAGGAAUUCGUAUUAUAUGGUUUC